RNAcentral lists this ribosomal RNA (253 nucleotides) under uncultured bacterium. RNAcentral's name for it is "partial 16S ribosomal RNA". It matches the Rfam family "Bacterial small subunit ribosomal RNA", at positions 524 to 776 of the family's 1533-position model. The record is from RNAcentral.
GACGAACCGUCCAAACGUUAUUCGGAAUCACUGGGCUUACAGAGUUCGUAGGCGGUCUGGAAAGUUGGGUGUGAAAUCCCUCGGCUCAACCGAGGAACUGCGCUCAAAACUACCCGACUCGAGGGAGAUAGAGGAAAGCGGAACUGAUGGUGGAGCGGUGAAAUGCGUUGAUAUCAUCAGGAACACCGGUGGCGAAGGCGGCUUUCUGGGCCUUACCUGACGCUGAGGAGCGAAAGCGUGGGGAGCGAACAGG